CCUACGGGAGGCUGCAGUGAGGAAUAUUGGUCAAUGGGCGAGAGCCUGAACCAGCCAAGUCGCGUGAAGGAUGACGGCCCUACGGGUUGUAAACUUCUUUUGUCAGGGAGCAAUUGAGUCCACGUGUGGUCUUAGCGAGCGUACCUGAAGAAAAAGCAUCCGCAAACUCCGUGCAAGCAGCCGCGGUAAUACGGAGGAUGCGAGCGUUAUCCGGAUUUAUUGGGUUUAAGGGGUGCGUAGGGGGAAUAGCAAGUCAGCGGUAAAAAUUCGGGUGUAAACCCGGUCGUGCCGUUGAAACUGAGGUUCUUGAGUGGGCGAGAGGUAUGCGGAAUGCGUGGUGUAGCGGUGAAAUGCGUAGAUAUCACGAAGAACACCAGUUGCGAAGGCGGCCUACCGGAGGCCAACUGACGCUGAGGCUCGAAAGCGUGGGUAUCGAACAGGAUUAGAUACCCGAGUAGUC
This 460-nucleotide ribosomal RNA is filed under the name uncultured bacterium. RNAcentral describes it as "partial 16S ribosomal RNA". It matches the Rfam family "Bacterial small subunit ribosomal RNA", at positions 338 to 795 of the family's 1533-position model. The record is from RNAcentral.